UUUUUUAGUACAUGCACAUCUAAGAAGAUUCCAUGAGAAUCAGGAUAGGUCUCCUGUAUAGCUAUGGGCUCUAUUGAUAUCCUAAGAGAGAAGUACAAGGAAAGGAGGGAAAGCAAGGAGGUUCAGUCCCGACACCAGGAACCUCAAUUCCACUUUCCACAAUAAUGCCAGAGAUGCCUGUCUUUAGCCUGUCACCAGUGUUGUUUCUUCAAGUGCUCAGUCUCGUGAAGAAAGGAGAAUGUCAAGAGAAUCCUAUAUUUUUUGCCUGCGAGGGAAAACAGAUUUGAGAUCAAUGGGAAUCCUCAAAGGUAAGUUGAGAGGGUCCCUUUAAGAGUAAUCAA
This is a non-coding RNA of Cyanistes caeruleus (blue tit), 341 nucleotides long. The record is from RefSeq and is a predicted model, not a curated record. Lineage: Eukaryota; Metazoa; Chordata; Aves; Passeriformes; Paridae.